UGGUUCAAGGUCCCUCUAUCCCCA
Molecule: transfer RNA, 24 nt
Filed under: Cayaponia africana
Lineage: Eukaryota; Viridiplantae; Streptophyta; Magnoliopsida; Cucurbitales; Cucurbitaceae
Description: partial tRNA-Leu
Source: RNAcentral